GCCCUGGUUGAUGAAUGGUAAAUCACCCACAUCCCUUAAGCAAAUGAGCACGACGGAUUGAUGUGGGAGACGGAGGUUCGAAUCCUCCCUGGGGCA
Mycena rebaudengoi is the source of this 96-nucleotide non-coding RNA. Lineage: Eukaryota; Fungi; Basidiomycota; Agaricomycetes; Agaricales; Mycenaceae. The record is from the annotation of a GenBank genome assembly.